Microcebus murinus (gray mouse lemur) is the source of this 236-nucleotide non-coding RNA. The record is from RefSeq and is a predicted model, not a curated record. Lineage: Eukaryota; Metazoa; Chordata; Mammalia; Primates; Cheirogaleidae.
AGACAGGCAGGCCCCUUGGCUCUAUUUUGUGUUCUGGUACAACCGGGAGAGGCAGCCUUGGGUUGUCAGCCGAGCACCUCUGGAUCACAUGGAAGGAUUUUGCCAGCUUUGAGAAUCCUGAGAAUUAAAAUGGUCAACCAAGGAAUAAAUACAGAAUUAAUUCAUCUUGGAAACAAGGAUGGUGUCUAUCUCCAGGCUCUGCUGAGUUGUAAAAUUAAGUGGAUAUAAAAACACAA